CACGUAGGGCGCAAGCGUUGUCCGGAAUUAUUGGGCGUAAAGAGCUCGUAGGCGGUCUGUUGCGUCCGCUGUGAAAACUCGGGCUUAACCCCGAGCCUGCAGUGAUACGGGCAGACUAGAGGUAGGUAGGGAGAAUGGAAUUCCGGUGUAGCGGUGAAAUGCGCAGAUAUCGGAGGAACACCGGUGGCGAAGGCGGUCUCUGGGCCUU
This 208-nucleotide ribosomal RNA is filed under the name uncultured bacterium. RNAcentral describes it as "partial 16S ribosomal RNA". It matches the Rfam family "Bacterial small subunit ribosomal RNA", at positions 524 to 737 of the family's 1533-position model. The record is from RNAcentral.